UCCAUACUCAUCAAAUACAUAUAAACUAAUGUUUAUAUGCUCAUCAAACACAAUGACCAAAUGUAUAUACAUAUUCUAUAAAUCCAUAUGACUAAAUCAUACACAUAUUCGAUACAUGUAAACACAUGAUAUGAAUAGAUUCACCGGCACAAAACCUGCUAGGCUUAAGGCCUGAUUCAAUACAUUGGCACUUAGCCUGCUGGACAUAUAGUCUGAAAUGUUUCACCGGCGUCAAGCCUGCUAGACUUAAAGUCUGAAAUGUUUCACCGGUGUCAAGCCUGCUAGACUUAAAGUCUGAAAUGUUUCACCGUCGACAAGCCUGCUAGACUUAAAGUCUGAAACAUAUCACUGGCAUCAAGCCUGCUAGGCACCGAGCCUGAACACUCAAUUUAUAUAAAUACAAAUCACUUUCAAAAUGUAUAUGUAUAUAAGAUUCCAUGUAUAAAAAUUUAGCUCAAUAUAUAUAAAUUAUGCCUUUAAACCACAUAGGUAUAUAAAGUUCAGAUAUUGAAUCCAGCUCAAUAACUUAAUUAUACAUAUGAUCAUAUACAGAUAUAUAACUUAAUACAUUAAGGGCUACUAUUAAUAUCAUGCAUUCGAACAUCUUAUAGUAAUCCAAGCUAACAAUUUUGUACCUUCAACUCCAUUCAAAAGCUUCACAUGAAUAUAAUUACAUAAUUGAAUCUCACAUAAACUUAUAUAAUUAUCAUACCUAAAUUCAAUACAUAAACAUGUACAUAUAUAAGUUUGUAUAUAUUCGAGUCUCAUACAUACUUUAUAAAAUAGUCAUACCUAAAUUUAACACAAAAACAUAUUCAAUUAUAUUUGUAUUUCCAAACUUCAUAUAAACUUAUAUAAAAAUUAUACCCAAACUCAAUACAAAAACAUAUACAUGUAAAUAUAUAUUUAUGUGCUCAUUCAAUUCUAUCAUAUACAUAUAAAUUUCAACUCACAUGUACAUACCAUUUCAAAACUACUUAUGCAAAUAUAACAUAUAUAUUUUUAAUCAAUCCAAUAGUUUGUACAUAUAUGUACUUACAUAUAUAUAUACAUUCGAACCUUCUAUAUAUAUACACUAUACAUACCUUUCGAUUAAUAACCAAGAAUUUAUACAUAAGCCAUAUUCAUUCUUCAACUAAAUUCAAGAGCUUACAUAUAUGUGUAUACAUAUAUGUAUAUUCGAACAUUAAUCAUAUAUUUAUAUAUAUACAUAUCAUUUUUACUUUGACUAAAUUCAAGCUAUAUACUUUCAAUUUAAGCUCAUCCAAAUACAAUAUAUAUAUGUAUAUUAAUUAAUAACAUUAAAUUGCUAGUUGACUUACCUCGGACGGUGAAAAAUCGAAAUCGGACGAUUAUUCGACGAUUUUAUCUUUCCCCCGAUCAAACUCCGAUUUCUUUGGUUCUUGAUCUAAAUAUAUCCAGAAUGAGCUAAUUUAAAUAUUAAAACAUUCAAUUUAAUCCAAAAACACAUAAAUAAGAAAAUUACCAUUUUGCCCCUAAUAUUUUACACUUUUUGCAAUUUAAUCCCAAUUGCAUAAAACACAAUUUACACAAAAUCUCACAACAACAUAGCUAGGCCGAAUCUUCCUUGUAUUCAUACAAGUCCAUGCAUUUCAUUUAUUUUUCAUUUUAGUCCCUCAAAAAUUUAUUUUUUUAAUUUAGUCCUAAUUACUCAAAUUUACCAAAAAUUUAAAGACAAAACAUGUUAAUCUAACACAUAUAUUUCAUAAUCCAUCAUCAAACAUCAUAGAACACAAUUAUUCAUUAAUGGCAUAACUCAAAAUAUUCAUCAAAAUCAAAAAUUCUAGCAUGGGUCAGAUAGUAUUCGAAGCAACGAUCUCAAAAAUAUAAAAAUUAUCAAAAACCGAGCUAGAACUCACCUUGAAUCAAGCUCAACAAUGGCCGAAUACCCUAGCUUUGUUUCUUUAAUUUCUUUUGUUUUGUUUCGUGAUGAAGAUGAAGGGAAAAA
RNAcentral lists this long non-coding RNA (1969 nucleotides) under Gossypium barbadense (sea-island cotton). RNAcentral describes it as "long non-coding RNA (GBAR_LNC017718)". The record is from RNAcentral. Lineage: Eukaryota; Viridiplantae; Streptophyta; Magnoliopsida; Malvales; Malvaceae.